Molecule: unclassified non-coding RNA, 278 nt
Filed under: Ceramothyrium sp.
Lineage: Eukaryota; Fungi; Ascomycota; Eurotiomycetes; Chaetothyriales; Chaetothyriaceae
Description: partial contains 5.8S ribosomal RNA, internal transcribed spacer 2, and large subunit ribosomal RNA
Rfam family: 5.8S ribosomal RNA (bases 1-52)
Source: RNAcentral
AACGCACCUUGCGCUCCUUGGUAUUCCGAGGAGCAUGCCUGUUUGAGUGUCAUUAAUAUAUAUCAACCUUCUCUUUACUGAGUGGUUUGGAUGUGGGGGUUUGCUGGCCUCUUAUAUGAGUUCAGCUCCCCUGAAAUGCAUUAGCAGAACAACCCGUUCGUUGGCGUGAUAACUAUCUACGCUAUUGAAUGUGAGGGACAGUUCAGCUUUCUAACAGUCCUUGGACAACUUAUCAUUUAUGUGACCUCAAAUCAGGUAGGACUACCCGCUGAACUUAA